UGGUAAGAAGAGGACUUAAACCUCUAUUCUUGGUGCUACAAACCACCGCCUCUUGCCUUCAGCCAUCUUACC
This 72-nucleotide transfer RNA is filed under the name Craugastor noblei (Noble's robber frog). Its description in RNAcentral is "tRNA-Tyr". Lineage: Eukaryota; Metazoa; Chordata; Amphibia; Anura; Craugastoridae. The record is from RNAcentral.